Long non-coding RNA from Thunnus maccoyii (southern bluefin tuna), 529 nucleotides. RefSeq lists it as uncharacterized. The record is from RefSeq and is a predicted model, not a curated record. Lineage: Eukaryota; Metazoa; Chordata; Actinopteri; Scombriformes; Scombridae. The transcript is spliced from 2 exons.
CCGCUGCUGGUCUGCGGCAGGCCGGAGCCGCCCUCUGUGGAGUAAACUCCAGAGUCUCUGCUGCCGCUGCUGCCCUGACGACUGUGUCUGCCACUGGAAACAUCAGAGGGAAAAUAUUACAGUCACAUGAGGACACUUGAUAUUCAGCCCUGUGCAAGCUCCUGCAGGGCCUCGGGCGGAGGGUCGUGGAUCUCCAGGAACGCCGGCUCUGGACAGAUGGUCACCUUAUGACACAAUAUCUCGGCUUCUUUAUCCGGGGAGAGAAGGCGAGGGAUGUCCGACGCCGGAGAGUCACAAAAAUACUGGAGAGAAGAGAGACUGAGAUGAGACUCUGAUGAUUGUUCUGGUGGAAUUGAAUAUAUCAGCUUCAGAGGGAUAAAUAAUUACGAUUUCUGAUGCUGAACAAAUGAUUUGGUCACUUGUAAACAACGGUGUGGACAGUCUCACCAGCAACAAAAAACAUUUCUGUGCUUCUUUUAAUUCAACUGUGACAAAACUAUGACAAUAAAACCAAAAACAUUUUCCUUUA